GCUCAAUUGGUAAAGACCCUAGGC
This 24-nucleotide non-coding RNA is filed under the name Arabidopsis thaliana (thale cress). The record is from RNAcentral. Lineage: Eukaryota; Viridiplantae; Streptophyta; Magnoliopsida; Brassicales; Brassicaceae.